AACGAACGCUGGCGGCAUGCCUAACACAUGCAAGUCGAACGAGACCUUCGGGUCUAGUGGCGCACGGGUGCGUAACGCGUGGGAACCUGCCCUUAGGUUCGGAAUAACUCCCCGAAAGGGGUGCUAAUACCGGAUAAUGUCUUCGGACCAAAGAUUUAUCGCCUUUGGAUGGGCCCGCGUUGGAUUAGCUAGUUGGUAGGGUAAAAGCCUACCAAGGCGACGAUCCAUAGCUGGUCUGAGAGGAUGAUCAGCCACACUGGGACUGAGACACGGCCCAGACUCCUACGGGAGGCAGCAGUGGGGAAUAGUGGACAAUGGGCGAAAGCCUGAUCCAGCAAUGCCGCGUGAGUGAUGAAGGCCUUAGGGUUGUAAAGCUCUUUUACCCGGGAUGAUAAUGACAGUACCGGGAGAAUAAGCACCGGCUAACUCCGUG
This 433-nucleotide ribosomal RNA is filed under the name uncultured bacterium. RNAcentral's name for it is "partial 16S ribosomal RNA". It matches the Rfam family "Bacterial small subunit ribosomal RNA", at positions 29 to 507 of the family's 1533-position model. The record is from RNAcentral.